GACGUUCCUCUCGUCUGACAUCAUCUGUGAAUGAUGUAUGAAGGAGACGUCACUAAUGACGUGUACAGUAGAGUGCAGGAGCCGUCACUCAUGCCGUAGGCAGGAGCCGGCGGCCCGCACACACGUCACUACGCUUCUGGAAGAUGAAUGUGGAAAGUAUGAUUAGGAAACAUGCUCAGGUGUGGCAUCUGCUCACGUCUGAGUAUGAGUUCAAAGCCCGGCUACUCUACAUUUGUAUGCCAUACGUCACGCCUGCAUCCAAGACCGUGUGCUGCGUGCAUCAAACCCACAGAAUGCCAUGUAACUGGCAGGAAUUCACCACCAAGCUUCACAACACGGCCAUCGGUUCCUCCACACCCGAGCAGUGAGAUUUACUUUUGCAAAGAACUAAAUUUUUCUUACUCAGGCUUUGCUCAUAGGCCAGGCCGGCCUGGAAGAAACCAACCCAACACCCUGUAGUGCGGCCGACGGCGUGCACGGUGAACACGGCUAGUUGUACAGUGCUUUCUUCUCCCAGCAUCCCUCUGCCCAGAGACUCCGCUCUCCACGGCCUGACCAGACCUUGGUCAUCAUGUCUUGAUUAAUUAUAGCCAAUCAAUCAUCUUUA
Non-coding RNA from Rattus norvegicus (Norway rat), 607 nucleotides. NCBI's taxonomy places the organism in Eukaryota, Metazoa, Chordata, Mammalia, Rodentia, Muridae. The record is from RefSeq and is a predicted model, not a curated record.